CCAAAUGGAUAAAUAAAGCAUGGGAAGAGGCGAAUAAGGAAGCCGGUGUGGCUGACAACCGGACGAAGUUCUUAGCAAACGAUUUUCAAGAAAAAUCGAAAAAAAUUCUGACAACCGGACAAGCAAACAAGAACACAUGCAUCGUUUAUAAAUAAGGAUCAGCAUCGUUUGAAUCUAACACUCAUUCAUUGGUAAAAAUAUUUAAUAUCUAAUUUUUUUAACUUGUAUUUCAACUAAUUCAUUUUUUCAUGAUUCAAAAUUUGAAAUUAGGUCGUCAAUCGAUUUUCUUUUACAUAAUCGUUUCUGUCUACGUAUAAUCCUAUAAAUGAUACAUAUUUAAUGGUACAUAUUUAAAUUUUGUUAUUGAGAAUGUCAUAUAUACAUUUAAGUGUUUAUUAAAUACAUUUCUCUAACAAAUUGAAAAUCACUACCAAAACAUCAAAUCAAUAGUCAUUAUAAUAAUGGCUAACGAUCAAUUCCGAAAAAAGUUGACAAAUCCACUGUGUCGUCGUCGUAUUUAAAAUAAUCAUCAAGUGAAAAAUUGGAAGAACGUGUAGAUGUAGAUGUAAAAGGUGACGGCGGUUGCGAUGAGUUAAUCGUAGGUUCAGCAAGAUCACUUUCUUCGAAUGGUGCAGGAAAUUGUUGAGAUCGAACGGAAAAUGACAGGAAGGUUGUGUUGAUUGUGGUGAGUUUCGAAUUAUGGGUUGCACGACUAUCCUGUGUCUUCUCAUAUGACCACCUAACACUUGAUCAGAAACGAAUUUAAUUCCACAGACCGAGCAUGCGUUAACUUUUUCCUUUUUAACAGCGAUAUCACAGUCGCUGGAAAGAGGCAUUAAAGAUGAUCCUAUACCAGAAAAAGAACUUCCCAAACUUAUAUCGAGAUUACAACCUUCGUUGUCGAUGAAUCUACUCGGAUUGAUGAAGGUGUUGUGAACAUACGGAUGAUAUGGUAUUGAUCCUGUCGUUGUUUUAGACUUCUUGUGACUCACCCGAUGACCGUUUAGGGCUUGAAAAGUUAAAAUCCUUUUGUUGCAGGUCUCACAUCCGUAUCUAUGGAUAUUUUCUAAUUUAGCUUUUCUAUUUUUUAUAAUCGAAUCAUCGUCGAUUGCUUCAUUUCUUGAAA
Molecule: long non-coding RNA, 1126 nt
Filed under: Zostera marina
Lineage: Eukaryota; Viridiplantae; Streptophyta; Magnoliopsida; Alismatales; Zosteraceae
Description: long non-coding RNA (ZMAR_LNC001749)
Source: RNAcentral